RNAcentral lists this ribosomal RNA (449 nucleotides) under uncultured prokaryote. RNAcentral describes it as "bacterial SSU rRNA". It matches the Rfam family "Bacterial small subunit ribosomal RNA", at positions 355 to 796 of the family's 1533-position model. The record is from RNAcentral.
UGGGGAAUUUUGCGCAAUGGGCGAAAGCCUGACGCAGCGACGCCGCGUGUGCGAUGAAGGCCCUUGGGUCGUAAAGCACUGUCAACAGGGACGAAAUCAUCGAGGCGAAUACCUUCGAUGUUUGACGGUACCUGUAAAGGAAGCACCGGCUAACUCUGUGCCAGCAGCCGCGGUAAUACAGAGGGUGCAAACGUUGUUCGGAAUUACUGGGCGUAAAGCGCGUGUAGGCGGUUCGUUAAGUCGACUGUGAAAGCCCAUGGCUCAACCAUGGAAGUGCAGUCGAUACUGGCAGACUGGAGUCCCGGAGAGGGUGGUGGAAUUCCUAGUGUAGAGGUGAAAUUCGUAGAUAUUAGGAGGAACACCGGUGGCGAAGGCGACCACCUGGACGGGUACUGACGCUGAGACGCGAAAGCGUGGGGAGCAAACAGGAUUAGAUACCCCCGUAGUCC